RNAcentral lists this ribosomal RNA (406 nucleotides) under uncultured bacterium. RNAcentral describes it as "partial 16S ribosomal RNA". It matches the Rfam family "Bacterial small subunit ribosomal RNA", at positions 30 to 526 of the family's 1533-position model. The record is from RNAcentral.
AUUGAACGCUGGCGGCAGGCCUAACACAUGCAAGUCGAACGAGUGGCGGACGGGUGAGUAAUGUCUGGGAAACUGCCUGAUGGCGGGGGAUAACUACUGGAAACGGUAGCUAAUACCGCAUACCAUCAGAUGUGCCCAGAUGGGAUUUGCUAGUUGGUGGGGUAACGGCUAACCAAGGCGACGCUCCCUAGCUGGUCUGAGAGGAUGACCAGCCACACUGGCACUGAGACACGGUCCAUACUCCUACGCGAGGUAGCAGUGGGGAAUAUUGCACAAUGGGCACAAGCCUGAUGCAGCCAUGCCGCGUGUAUGAAGAAGGCCUUCGGGUUUUAAAGUACUUUCAGCGGGGAGGCGUGACCCGCAGAAGAAGCACCGGCUAACUCCGUGCCAGCAGCCGCGGUAAUAC